Molecule: ribosomal RNA, 253 nt
Filed under: uncultured bacterium
Lineage: Bacteria
Description: partial 16S ribosomal RNA
Rfam family: Bacterial small subunit ribosomal RNA
Source: RNAcentral
UACGAAGGGGGCUAGCGUUGCUCGGAAUCACUGGGCGUAAAGCGCACGUAGGCGGACUCUUAAGUCGGUGGUGAAAUCCUGGAGCUCAACUCCAGAACUGCCUUCGAUACUGAGAGUCUUGAGUCCGGGAGAGGUGAGUGGAACUGCGAGUGUAGAGGUGAAAUUCGUAGAUAUUCGCAAGAACACCAGUGGCGAAGGCGGCCAACUGGUCCGGAACUGACGCUGAGGUGCGAAAGCGUGGGGAGCAAACAGG